GACGAACGCUGGCGGCGUGCCUAAUACAUGCAAGUCGAGCGAAGUUUUUCUGGUGCUUGCACUAGAAAAACUUAGCGGCGAGCGGGUGAGUAACACGUAAAGAACCUGCCUCAUAGACUGGGACAACUAUUGGAAACGAUAGCUAAUACCGGAUAACAGUAUUUCUCGCAUGAGAGAUAUUUAAAAGUUGGUUAUGCUAACACUAUGAGAUGGCUUUGCGGUGCAUUAGCUAGUUGGUGGGGUAAAGGCCCACCAAGGCGACGAUGCAUAGCCGACCUGAGAGGGUGAUCGGCCACACCGGGACUGAGACACGGCCCAGACUCCUACGGGAGGCAGCAGUAGGGAAUCUUCCGCAAUGGGCGAAAGCCUGACGGAGCAACGCCGCGUGAGUGAAGAAGGAUUUCGGUUCGUAAAGCUCUGUUGUUAGGGAAGAAUGGAUAUGUAGUAACUAUACAUGUAAGAGACGGUACCUAACCAGAAAGCCACGGCUAACUACGUG
RNAcentral lists this ribosomal RNA (499 nucleotides) under uncultured bacterium. RNAcentral's name for it is "partial 16S ribosomal RNA". It matches the Rfam family "Bacterial small subunit ribosomal RNA", at positions 28 to 507 of the family's 1533-position model. The record is from RNAcentral.